Molecule: transfer RNA, 61 nt
Filed under: Atractomorpha sinensis
Lineage: Eukaryota; Metazoa; Arthropoda; Insecta; Orthoptera; Pyrgomorphidae
Description: tRNA-Ser
Source: RNAcentral
GAAAUGUAAAAUUAUAGAGCUGCUAACUCUAAUUAUAGUGAUUUAAACCAUUAACAUUUCU